This 255-nucleotide ribosomal RNA is filed under the name uncultured bacterium. RNAcentral describes it as "partial 16S ribosomal RNA". It matches the Rfam family "Bacterial small subunit ribosomal RNA", at positions 524 to 776 of the family's 1533-position model. The record is from RNAcentral.
UACGAAGGGGGCUAGCGUUGUUCGGAAUUACUGGGCGUAAAGCGCACGUAGGCGGAUAUUUAAGUCAGGGGUGAAAUCCCAGAGCUCAACUCUGGAACUGCCUUUGAUACUGGGUAUCUUGAGUAUGGAAGAGGUAAGUGGAAUUGCGAGUGUAGAGGUGAAAUUCGUAGAUAUUCGCAGGAACACCAGUGGCGAAGGCGGCUUACUGGUCCAUUACGUGACGCUGAGGUGGCGAAAGCGUGGGGAGCAAACAGG